AAGACCGUACUAAUAACUGGAGGUCAAGUCUGGUGCCAGCAUCCGCGGUAAUUCCAGCUCCAGGGGUGUCUAUGAUGAUUGCUGCGAUUAAAAAGUCCGUAGUCGAGCUGACUGACUGACCUGCAAUGUGGUUGAUUAAAAGACGAGCAGGGUUAGGAAAGCAGAGAAUUAGGAGCGACCGAGGGCUAGAGUAUUGAAUGGCGAGAGGUGAAAUUUGAUGACCCAUUCAGGAGUGACAAAGGCGAAGGCACUAGUCAAGGGCGAAUCCGAUGAUCAAGGACGUAGGCUAGAGUUUCGAAAACGAUUAGAGACCGGAGUAGUUCUAGCAGUAAACUAUGCCGACACCGUGGUAUUAAUUUUUUAGUAUUGCGGAAGAGAAAUCAAGUAAGGCUUUGGGGAGAGUACGCGCGCAAGCGAUAAAUUUAAAGGAAAUUGACGGAGGAACACCACAAGGAGUGGAGUGUGCGGCUUAA
RNAcentral lists this ribosomal RNA (473 nucleotides) under Dictyocoela roeselum. RNAcentral's name for it is "partial small subunit ribosomal RNA". It matches the Rfam family "Microsporidia small subunit ribosomal RNA", at positions 358 to 827 of the family's 1311-position model. Lineage: Eukaryota; Fungi; Microsporidia. The record is from RNAcentral.